GACGAACGCUGGCGGCGUGCUUAACACAUGCAAGUCGAACGGAAAGGCCCUGCUUUUGUGGUGUGCUCGAGUGGCGAACGGGUGAGUAACACGUGAGUAACCUGCCCUUGACUUUGGGAUAACUUCAGGAAACUGGGGCUAAUACCGGAUAGGAGCUCCUGCUGCAUGGUGGGGGUUGGAAAGUUUCGGCGGUUGGGGAUGGACUCGCGGCUUAUCAGCUUGUUGGUGGGGUAGUGGCUUACCAAGGCUUUGACGGGUACCCGGCCUGGGAGGGUGGACGGGCACAUUGGGACUGAGGGACGGACCAGAGUCGUACGGGGGGCAGCAGGGGGAAAUAUGGCACAAUGGGCGGAAGCCUGAUGCAGCAACGCCGGGUGCGGGAUGACGGCCUUCGGGUUGUAAACCGCUUUCGCCUGUGACGAAGCGUGAGUGACGGUAAUGGGUAAAGAAGCACCGGCUAACUACGUG
This 468-nucleotide ribosomal RNA is filed under the name uncultured bacterium. RNAcentral describes it as "partial 16S ribosomal RNA". It matches the Rfam family "Bacterial small subunit ribosomal RNA", at positions 28 to 507 of the family's 1533-position model. The record is from RNAcentral.